GCCAAUAUGGUGUAGUGGUUUGAGCACUGGACUACAACUCUGGAGAUCAGGGAUCGAUUCCCUGCUCAAGCA
This is a non-coding RNA of Phrynosoma platyrhinos (Desert horned lizard), 72 nucleotides long. The record is from the annotation of a GenBank genome assembly. NCBI's taxonomy places the organism in Eukaryota, Metazoa, Chordata, Lepidosauria, Squamata, Phrynosomatidae.